This 565-nucleotide ribosomal RNA is filed under the name Vuilleminia coryli. Its description in RNAcentral is "eukaryotic LSU rRNA". The stretch from base 182 to 335 matches the Rfam family "5.8S ribosomal RNA". The record is from RNAcentral. Lineage: Eukaryota; Fungi; Basidiomycota; Agaricomycetes; Corticiales; Vuilleminiaceae.
CGUAGGUGAACCUGCGGAAGGAUCAUUAUCGAGUUUGAAAGGGGUUUGCAGCUGACUCUCCGGAGUAUGUGCUCGCCUCGCUCAUCCACUCUACACCUGUGCACUAUCUGUGGGCUUCGGCCUACGUCUCUACACACACAAUAUGUAUCAGAAUGUAACACCGCGUCUAACGCAAUAAUACAACUUUCAACAACGGAUCUCUUGGCUCUCGCAUCGAUGAAGAACGCAGCGAAAUGCGAUAAGUAAUGUGAAUUGCAGAAUUCAGUGAAUCAUCGAAUCUUUGAACGCACCUUGCGCUCCUUGGUAUUCCGAGGAGCAUGCCUGUUUGAGCGUCGUGAAUCUCUCAACCCACAAAUUGUUUGUUCAGUUUGUGCGGCUUGGACUUGGAGGUAUUGCUGGCGAUGGUCAGCUCCUCUUAAAUGUAUUAGCUGGGCUUAGCUCGGUGGAACGGUUAGUGUGAUAAUUAUCUGCGCUGCCUACUACAUCGGAUCCCGCUUCUAAUCGUCCGCAAGGACAAUUCACUUUGAAUCUGACCUCAAAUCAGGUAGGACUACCCGCUGAACUU